Gadus morhua (Atlantic cod) is the source of this 1035-nucleotide long non-coding RNA. RefSeq lists it as uncharacterized. The record is from RefSeq and is a predicted model, not a curated record. The transcript has 2 exons. Lineage: Eukaryota; Metazoa; Chordata; Actinopteri; Gadiformes; Gadidae.
UAUAGAAAAUAUUGGCUACAUAAUUUUACCUCAAACCUUUUAUAAUAAAAGUGGAACGGAAGUCGUGGUUGAUCUUUUGCGGCGAGAAAGGUCAAUGUGACAACUGUGUGGGGGGCGUGUGUGUGUUGUGUAACUUUGCCACUGUGUGUAUGGUUACUUUGACCGUAAUUGAAAGGCUAUAUUAUUGUAUUUUGUCGUGCAAUUUACAAUGAAUCCACCACAGUUGUCCGCUGGGAAACGUCUCGCUAAACCGAUUUUGUUUGGGACGCUGAUCAUAGGACUGACCACUGUCUUCUACAACAGCAAUAUGUUCUUCGGGGACGUGGAAGAGCUCAGAGCCAAGGAGCGGGCCCGCAAUGAUGCAAAGCUGCAGGAGGUCCUGGAAAGGAGACAGAAGCAGAUAGAGCACCUGAUGGAGAAGAAGGGAGGAGCUUGAGUCAAAGUACCCAUGUCCAGUUGGAGACCAUUCCUAGAACUCUCAUCAAUUGCUUUUCAAAAUGGACAAAUUGAUUGAUGGCCAAAUCGAAAUUAAAGCUUGACCAAUGUUGCCCAGGACUAUCCGAUAGGGGUUCACUCUAUCAAUUUGUAAAGGGAGCAAACAAUGUAUUAGCGGUUCGAGCUCUGCAUGCAUGGAAUCGAGUCUCUUAAAAGUCCACUCAUGCAAGAGAGUAUUGUUGUAAGACGAAUUAAUUGUUUUUUCAAUUUCGUUUUUUUCCUUCUUCACCUCAUUAUGUAAGAAUUGAAUUAUUUCCCAGUUCUAAAACAAUGAUGUAAAUCGAUUGUAGGAUUUGAUACAACAUUAUUCAAUGAACAUUGGAUUAAAAAAACGUAAAUAGUAAAUGUGAAGUGGUUCCAACAAAGUCCAUGAUUCUUUUAACUUUUGAAAGUCUGAAUGAAGGGGAAUCCUUCUAUUAGGCGUCGUUUGUCAAAUUUUGCUGCUCAAAAAACGACUUCACUUGUUCCAGAUUGAGCUUGAGUGUUGCUUAAUUUUUCCUAUAUUUAGCAAAUAAACGCCCCACCCAAAUGCACUGCAAA